GGACAGGUGGCCGAGUGGUUUAAGGCAGCGGUCUUGAAAACCGCCGUAGCGGCAACGUUACCGAGGGUUCGAAUCCCUCCCUGUCCGCCA
Molecule: transfer RNA, 90 nt
Filed under: Sphingopyxis bauzanensis
Lineage: Bacteria; Pseudomonadati; Pseudomonadota; Alphaproteobacteria; Sphingomonadales; Sphingopyxidaceae
Description: tRNA-Ser
Rfam family: tRNA
About the family: Transfer RNA (tRNA) molecules are approximately 80 nucleotides in length. Their secondary structure includes four short double-helical elements and three loops (D, anti-codon, and T loops).
Source: RNAcentral